AGAAUAUUGUGUAAUACAAGAUUUCAUAGACUAAAUAUUAGUCUAUCCCAACUUCCAACACUGCAUUAUCAUCUUGUCAAUCAGGCGUUCCUGGUGAUUUACCGGUGGUGUUCACCGGUGGGGUGGUGAUCGAGUUGACCGGUGGAUCGGUGUUGAAAGCAAAUGCUGAUAUUGACAGAAACUGAACUCCCACAAUGCACUGGUACACCAUUCAGUGAGGCCUCAUGGACAAGGUAACGACAGUCAGUCCUCCUGAAGAGGAAGAUCUAACACAUCCUACCACAGAAAUGUAUGUCUUUUCUCUCCAUUAGCUGCAGCCUCUGAACCACAAGCUAUCUGUAACACGGCAAUUGCGCAUGUAAGUUUAAGCCAAGUAACAUUAAUCCCCGCCAUAAUAUGCACAGAGUUUCCCCUUCCAUUCAACACAUUGUUUGUCUGAAGGUGGGGCAAGUUUGCGUGCAAGGCCAACAAAAUGAUAGCCUCGUCACAUAACGAAAUCCCUCGUUAACAACAUGCAAAAGCGACAAU
RNAcentral lists this long non-coding RNA (528 nucleotides) under Haliotis rufescens (red abalone). RNAcentral's name for it is "uncharacterized LOC125377983, transcript variant X2". Lineage: Eukaryota; Metazoa; Mollusca; Gastropoda; Lepetellida; Haliotidae. The record is from RNAcentral.